RNAcentral lists this transfer RNA (65 nucleotides) under Dipodomys ordii (Ord's kangaroo rat). It matches the Rfam family "tRNA". Rfam says of the family: Transfer RNA (tRNA) molecules are approximately 80 nucleotides in length. Their secondary structure includes four short double-helical elements and three loops (D, anti-codon, and T loops). Further hydrogen bonds mediate the characteristic L-shaped molecular structure. tRNAs have two regions of fundamental functional importance: the anti-codon, which is responsible for specific mRNA codon recognition, and the 3' end, to which the tRNAs corresponding amino acid is attached (by aminoacyl-tRNA synthetases). tRNAs cope with the degeneracy of the genetic code in two manners: having more than one tRNA (with a specific anti-codon) for a particular amino acid; and 'wobble' base-pairing, i.e. permitting non-standard base-pairing at the 3rd anti-codon position. Lineage: Eukaryota; Metazoa; Chordata; Mammalia; Rodentia; Heteromyidae. The record is from Rfam by way of RNAcentral.
GGUGGCUUGGUGGUAGAGUACUUGCCUUGCAUGCAUGAGGCCCUGGGUUCAAUUCCUCAGCACCA